Molecule: ribosomal RNA, 484 nt
Filed under: uncultured bacterium
Lineage: Bacteria
Description: partial 16S ribosomal RNA
Rfam family: Bacterial small subunit ribosomal RNA
Source: RNAcentral
AUUGAACGCUGGCGGCAGGCCUAACACAUGCAAGUCGAGCGGAUGAAGGGAGCUUGCUCCUGGAUUCAGCGGUGGACGGGUGAGUAAUGCCUAGGAAUCUGCCUGGUAGUGGGGGAUAACGUCCGGAAACGGGCGCUAAUACCGCAUACGUCCUGAGGGAGAAAGUGGGGGAUCUUCGGACCUCACGCUAUCAGAUGAGCCUAGGUCGGAUUAGCUAGUUGGUGGGGUAAAGGCCUACCAAGGCGACGAUCCGUAACUGGUCUGAGAGGAUGAUCAGUCACACUGGAACUGAGACACGGUCCAGACUCCUACGGGAGGCUGCAGUGGGGAAUAUUGGACAAUGGGCGAAAGCCUGAUCCAGCCAUGCCGCGUGUGUGAAGAAGGUCUUCGGAUUGUAAAGCACUUUAAGUUGGGAGGAAGGGCAGUAAGUUAAUACCUUGCUGUUUUGACGUUACCAACAGAAUAAGCACCGGCUAACUUCGUG